RNAcentral lists this long non-coding RNA (2304 nucleotides) under Gallus gallus (chicken). RNAcentral's name for it is "lncRNA (ENSGALG00010019842.1)". Lineage: Eukaryota; Metazoa; Chordata; Aves; Galliformes; Phasianidae. The record is from RNAcentral.
CCCAUCCCGCGGCCCCGGACCCGCGGUCCCCCGCCGCCGCCGCUCGCACUUCCUCUUCCUUCCUCCUGCUGGCCGGGCCGCGACGUGCAGCCCGCGGGGCUCCGGCACCUGCGGGGACCGGACGGGCCCAGCCGCCUCUCUUCGGUCACGGCUGUGCCUCCUCCCGCACGGCUCCGGAGGAGAGUUCCCACCGUCCUCGCUGCCUUUACAAUACGAAGAGCCAACCGUAUCCUGGGCUGCAUCAAAGGAAGAGUGGCCAGCAGGGAGAGGGAGGUGAUCCUGCCCCUCUGCUCUGCCUGCCCUGAGGUGAGACCUCACCUGGAGUACCGCGUCCAGAUGUGGAGUCCUCAGUACGGGAGAGACAUGGAGCUGUUGGAGUGCAUCCGGAGGAGGGCCACAGAAAUGACCCAAGGGGUGGAACACCUCUCCUAUGAGGACAGGCUGAGGGAGUUGGGCCUGGAGAAGAGAAGGCUCCGAGAUGACCUAAUAGCAGCUCCGGUGCUUUGUUUGAAAUCAUCCCUGCAGGGCCCAGUGCUUCAGAUUACAGCUGGCAGUGAGAUACAGCAGUGUUCAGGGGCUCCUGGCCCCGCAGCACCACAGGCACCCCACAGGGUUGCACCUCUGUCACAAGAAGGACAAGUGGCACGAGGACUAGCAAAAGUGAGUCCUGCAGGCUGCAACACGUCACAUAACGGUACACGAGCUCUGAGCAAUUAAUUGGGCAUGAGGCAGAAAGAGGCAUGACUCACCUGAGCCACGCGCUGCUGUAUUUGUAGGAGUGGAGCACGGGCACUGCGUGGCUCUGCAUAGCAUGUGAGAUGUCUCCGUGGCAGGAAUUCCCCACAGUUAUGAGGCACUUCCUCAGAGCCACUGGGCUUUGGGACCUCCUCCAAUGGUAAAAUCCACAGAGAAGCCAGACUGGGAUGUGUUGGUUCCUACGGUCAAUAUACAUUUCAAAGCACCUUCUUACACUGCUUUGUUAAGGUAGAACUCUGAAACUGAAAAUACAAGGUCCACAUAGAUAUUAUUUUAGGAAAAAAAAAGUUCUUCUCUGAAACAGUAGUCAGGCACAGGCACAGGCUGCCCAGGGGAGUGGUGGAGUCACCAUCCCUGGAGGUGUUCAAGAAACACGUAGAUGUGGCACUGAGGGUCAUGGUUAGUGGGCAAUAUUGAUGAUGGGUUGACAGUUGGACUAGAUUAUCUUGGAGGUCUUUUCCAACCUUAAUGAUUCUAUGAUUUUGUGUUAUGAAGCCACUUAUCAAAUCGUCUCGAGAGUUCCUGAUGGCCAAUUAUAGUGUUCUCAAUGAAGGAUGGGAGUAGUCCCAAGCAGAUGGCUGUUCAGUGUGCAGCUGGACUACGUAAUAUUGAGAUUUUUUUCUAUGUCUGUGUACCCGUAUUAUGGUCCUGAAAUAAAAGCAGGAUGUGUUUACAGCUUAGAAAAGGACAUUGUGAAUACACAGUGAGAUGUAUGAAAGUUUUGUUUACCUCACCUUCCACUGUUGGUGCAGGAGCUGUUUCUGUGUGUCCUCUCUUAGGGGCUGGCAUCAGCAGUGAAAAUGAGCACAUAUACCAGGCGGUAGGAGGGAUGCUUGGAAGAAUAUUAAGAAUGAACAGUACUUUAAAUGUUUUCUAUUUUAAACCCUUAACACCACAGUUUUGAUCUUCCUCCUUUGGCUCUCAGGUUCAUCAAUGGAAAUCAUAAAAGAUCAAUUUCAGCCGCACAUGACUAUAAUAUUUCGAUUUCAAACGGCGUGGGAGAAUGUGUAUUUAACAAUGCUAUUGUUGUUCAGUUUAGAAGAGAAUAUGUGAAGUACUUUCCAGACUGUGGGGACAAAGGUAAGCGCACUGUUAUACUGAAUGUUCCUGAGAGACAGCAAGCAAGAGAGCCACUGCGCACAGCCCAGUGAAGCCCCCUGCUCACCCACAGACAGCAUUGCAACUCUUGCUCCAAUAGCACUAGUAUUUUUUUCUCCAAAACUUGCUUGGAAUGUAUAUUUACAGAAGCGUGUGGAUGCUGUGGGCAUGUUCUAAUUUAUUUAAUAGCAGUCCUUCCCAUGGUGUCUGCUGCCAAACACGUGCUGUCGUUAUAACUGUGGUGUGUCAUAACACAGUGGAGUUGUUCUGAUGUUGUGAGCAUAAGAAGUUUGCUAAAUAAUUCUAGAAAGCCAGAAGAGGGAGUGCAGGAACAGAAAACACCCAGAAUUAAGCAUCUUAAUUGAUGUGGCUAUUUCAGCUGCAACCUUAAAAAAAGUAAAUCCAGGAAGGACUGGUGUCCUGCUUGGCUCUCUGACAACAGGAAUGUGU